Non-coding RNA from Prunus avium (sweet cherry), 441 nucleotides. The record is from RefSeq and is a predicted model, not a curated record. Lineage: Eukaryota; Viridiplantae; Streptophyta; Magnoliopsida; Rosales; Rosaceae.
GUUUCCUGGGCCAACACUGUAUGCUCGCACGGGAGAUACUAUAAUCGUCGAUGUCUAUAACAAGGGCAAUCGUAACAUUACUAUCCAUUGGCAUGGAGUUAAGCAACCAAGGAAUCCAUGGUCGGACGGCCCUGAUUAUAUCACGCAAUGCCCAAUCCAACCAGGAGGCAGCUUUACCCAAACUAUCAUAUUUUCCUCUGAGGAAGGCACCCUCUGGUGGCAUGCUCACAGCGAGUGGGAUCGAGCCACCGUCCACGGCGCUAUAGUCAUCUACCCCAACAAAGGAGCCACUUACUCUUUCCCCAAGCCUCAUGCAGAAUUUCCAAUCAUCUUAGGGGAGUGGUGGAAGGAAGAUAUAGGACAGCUUUAUAAUGAAACUAUUCAAAAUGGAGGGGACCCUAACAUUUCCAAUGCUUUCCUCAUCAAUGGUCAACCUGGCGA